Molecule: unclassified non-coding RNA, 376 nt
Filed under: Hevea brasiliensis (rubber tree)
Lineage: Eukaryota; Viridiplantae; Streptophyta; Magnoliopsida; Malpighiales; Euphorbiaceae
Source: RNAcentral
CCAUAAUUAAGCGGAUCAUCCAGAAUUCCACAUGCGUUCACACACUCCACAGAAGGAUCCAUCAAAGAGGCAUCCAUCGUGAUCUUCUCGCUGUAAAUUCCCCCACCCCCAUCACAAAAAUCUUCAAGUAGCUGUUGUGCAGGCUUCAAAAAUCUCGAUUCCUUUAAAAUCGAAGUAUAUCCCGUGAAAGGCCCGAGAGGGACCGAACUUCUAGACAACUCAGUCGAGGUCGAGCCACUGCCUCCAACAAUGCCAGGAACCGUAUAUCCAUCACCACCGCCAACAGUAAUCUUACCACCGUAAACUGCAGACCCGUGUCUUUGCAAAUUAAGGUCUAAAGGGAGAUUACUUUGGUGGGUAUGGUGAGAAGACAAAG